This is a long non-coding RNA of Mastomys coucha (southern multimammate mouse), 843 nucleotides long. RefSeq lists it as uncharacterized. The transcript has 3 exons. The record is from RefSeq and is a predicted model, not a curated record. NCBI's taxonomy places the organism in Eukaryota, Metazoa, Chordata, Mammalia, Rodentia, Muridae.
GGGUGAUUCUCGUAGCCCCAGGUUUUCACGCCAGGAAAAAAGCACCCUGCCGUGGUCCUGUGUCCUGUUCCCAACUCACCGUGUCCCGAAGUUGUGGCGCUGCGGGAUUCUGUGUCGACCCAGAUCUAUAGGUCUUAAAACUCUGUGAGCUGGUCCCAGGAGUGUGGGGGAGGUGUUGGGCGCAUGGCGCUCUUGAGCUGGGAGCGCAGGGCAAGAGACCUCGAGUGGGGCCGGGCUUUUGUGCUAAGUUAGACUGAAGUACGGAGCUGCCGGGAGGAGCCUGGGCAACGAGCCAGGCACGCGCCUCCCAUUUCUCACGCCUUCUUCUCCAUCCAGUGCUUACGGCACAGGACCCCCUUGUGAGUUAGUGGAGAGGCUCAGUGUGCACAGCCCUGAAGACUACCUUGCGCUGUGGGAAAGGGAACCCCACCUAUCAUCCUGUCCCCCAGCCAGUAUGGCUCUCAGGCUCAGCCAGGAUGCUCCAGAGACAAGCUGCCCUCAGCUCCAUCCGCCCAGACUUCUAGUAUCUGGGAGAUCUCAAGAGACCCAGAAUCGCAUGGCGGUCGGCAGGCACAGUUUUUGGUUUAGAUUGUUGCAACAGACAUCCCACACUUGGAGCCCCGCCGGCCUCCAGGCCAUGCAGGAGGUCUCUGGAAAGAGGGAAUAUCGGAGAAGCAGGAAGUAUAUCAGCUGAGGCCCCAGCAGCACAGCCCACAUCCCCAGCCCACGGCCGCCAUCAGCAUCUCCUAUAUGGCCGCCAUCAGCAUCUCCUAUACGGCCGCCAUCAGCAUCUCCUAUAUGGCCACAUCAGCAUCUCCUAUAUGGCCACUGACGCCCAGUGGU